RNAcentral lists this ribosomal RNA (527 nucleotides) under uncultured bacterium. Its description in RNAcentral is "partial 16S ribosomal RNA". It matches the Rfam family "Bacterial small subunit ribosomal RNA", at positions 355 to 874 of the family's 1533-position model. The record is from RNAcentral.
UGGGGAAUUUUGGACAAUGGGCGAAAGCCUGAUCCAGCAAUGCCGCGUGUGUGAAGAAGGCCUUCGGGUUGUAAAGCACUUUUGUCCGGAAAGAAAUCCUUGGCCCUAAUACAGUCGGGGGAUGACGGUACCGGAAGAAUAAGCACCGGCUAACUACGUGCCAGCAGCCGCGGUAAUACGUAGGGUGCAAGCGUUAAUCGGAAUUUACUGGGCGUAAAGCGUGCGCAGGCGGUUUGCUAAGACCGAUGUGAAAUCCCCGGGCUCAACCUGGGAACUGCAUUGGUGACUGGCAGGCUAGAGUAUGGCAGAGGGGGGUAGAAUUCCACGUGUAGCAGUGAAAUGCGUAGAGAUGUGGAGGAAUACCGAUGGCGAAGGCAGCCCCCUGGGCCAAUACUGACGCUCAUGCACGAAAGCGUGGGGAGCAAACAGGAUUAGAUACCCUGGUAGUCCACGCCCUAAACGAUGUCAACUAGUUGUUGGGGAUUCAUUUCCUUAGUAACGUAGCUAACGCGUGAAGUUGACCGCCU